UGAGUAAUGUCUGGGAAACUGCCCGAUGGAGGGGGAUAACUACUGGAAACGGUAGCUAAUACCGCAUAACGUCUUCGGACCAAAGUGGGGGACCUUCGGGCCUCACACCAUCGGAUGUGCCCAGAUGGGAUUAGCUAGUAGGUGGGGUAAUGGCUCACCUAGGCGACGAUCCCUAGCUGGUCUGAGAGGAUGACCAGCCACACUGGAACUGAGACACGGUCCAGACUCCUACGGGAGGCAGCAGUGGGGAAUAUUGCACAAUGGGCGCAAGCCUGAUGCAGCCAUGCCGCGUGUAUGAAGAAGGCCUUCGGGUUGUAAAGUACUUUCAGCGGGGAGGAAGGCGAUGAGGUUAAUAACCUUAUCGAUUGACGUUACCCGCAGAAGAAGCACCGGCUAACUCCGUGCCAGCAGCCGCGGUAAUACGGAGGGUGCAAGCGUUAAUCGGAAUUACUGGGCGUAAAGCGCACGCAGGCGGUCUGUCAAGUCAGAUGUGAAAUCCCCGGGCUUAACCUGGGAACUGCAUUUGAAACUGGCAGGCUUGAGUCUCGUAGAGGGGGGUAGAAUUCCAGGUGUAGCGGUGAAAUGCGUAGAGAUCUGGAGGAAUACCGGUGGCGAAGGCGGCCCCCUGGACGAAGACUGACGCUCAGGUGCGAAAGCGUGGGGAGCAAACAGGAUUAGAUA
This 681-nucleotide ribosomal RNA is filed under the name Erwinia sp. RNAcentral describes it as "bacterial SSU rRNA". It matches the Rfam family "Bacterial small subunit ribosomal RNA", at positions 107 to 784 of the family's 1533-position model. Lineage: Bacteria; Pseudomonadati; Pseudomonadota; Gammaproteobacteria; Enterobacterales; Erwiniaceae. The record is from RNAcentral.